Molecule: transfer RNA, 60 nt
Filed under: Dipodomys ordii (Ord's kangaroo rat)
Lineage: Eukaryota; Metazoa; Chordata; Mammalia; Rodentia; Heteromyidae
Rfam family: tRNA
About the family: Transfer RNA (tRNA) molecules are approximately 80 nucleotides in length. Their secondary structure includes four short double-helical elements and three loops (D, anti-codon, and T loops). Further hydrogen bonds mediate the characteristic L-shaped molecular structure. tRNAs have two regions of fundamental functional importance: the anti-codon, which is responsible for specific mRNA codon recognition, and the 3' end, to which the tRNAs corresponding amino acid is attached (by aminoacyl-tRNA synthetases). tRNAs cope with the degeneracy of the genetic code in two manners: having more than one tRNA (with a specific anti-codon) for a particular amino acid; and 'wobble' base-pairing, i.e. permitting non-standard base-pairing at the 3rd anti-codon position.
Source: Rfam by way of RNAcentral
GGUGGCUCAGUGGUAGAGCGCUUGCCUUGCAUGCAUGAGGCCCUGGGUUCCCCAGCACCA